RNAcentral lists this long non-coding RNA (515 nucleotides) under Daucus carota (carrot). RNAcentral's name for it is "long non-coding RNA (DCAR_LNC003638)". The record is from RNAcentral. Lineage: Eukaryota; Viridiplantae; Streptophyta; Magnoliopsida; Apiales; Apiaceae.
UAAUAUUCCAUCAUAAUUACCAUCAUUCGGCAAGCUAACUUUAAACAUGUGCAGGAGUCGUGACGCCCUAAGCAGGAACAUGUAUUCAUAAAAAGUUGGCAAUGCUAGGUGUUAUUGACCAUCAAACACUACUUUUGGUUUUAACCUUCCUUUUGCUUUUCACGAACCUGUCUUCAUGAUUAGAGAAUAUUACCUUUUGCCUGUGCUUUCACGUACUCACCAAGAAUAAUAGAAUCAGACAUAGUUUGGAGCAUCAUACCUCUUGGCAGGCCUUUCCUCACCUGCCGGUGGUUUCAUGGCUCGUGUCAGUAGAUGACGAAAUCAUCAAGUCGAGCUGGUGUUCAUCGUACUGACCAAGCAGAAAUGAACAUCAGAGAUGCUAUUGCCAAGUUCAGAGAAAUAAUUAUCCUAAAGUGCUCGAUGAUUAUGGGCUUAAAUACUGCUCUGUAGAACUCUGUUCUUGGGUAUUCAUCACGGCUCCCUCUUUUUCAUGUAUCUUCACCGGCAGACCUAAU